Non-coding RNA from Bisporella sp. PMI_857, 71 nucleotides. Lineage: Eukaryota; Fungi; Ascomycota; Leotiomycetes; Helotiales; Helotiaceae. The record is from the annotation of a GenBank genome assembly.
GGCUCGGUGGCUUAGUGGUAAAGCGUGUGUUUGCAGUGCCUAAGAUCCGUGUUCGAAUCACCGUCGAACCU